AUGGGGGAGAGGGUCAAGGGAACCGUGAAGUGGUUCAACGUCACCAAGGGGUUCGGCUUCAUCUCCCCGGAGGACGGCAGCGAGGACCUCUUCGUCCACCAGUCCGCCAUCAAGUCCGACGGCUACCGCAGCCUCAACGAGAACGACACCGUCGAGUUCGAGGUCAUCACCGGCGACGACGGUCGCACCAAGGCCUCCGACGUCACCGCACCAGGAGGAGGAGCGCUCUCCGGCGGCUCCCGCCCUGGCGAUGGCGGUGGUGACCGUGGGGGCCGCGGCGGCUACGGUGGCGGUGGCUACGGCGGUGGCGGUGGCGGUGGCGGCUACGGAGGCGGUGGUGGCGGUUACGGCGGUGGCGGUGGCGGCUACGGUGGCGGCGGCGGCGGCCGCGAGUGCUACAAGUGCGGCGAGGAGGGCCACAUCUCCAGGGACUGCCCCCAGGGCGGUGGUGGCCGUGGCGGCGGCGGCGGCGGUGGCGGCUGCUUCUCCUGCGGCGAGUCCGGCCACUUCUCCCGCGAGUGCCCCAACAAGGCCCACUAG
Molecule: ribosomal RNA, 540 nt
Filed under: Triticum aestivum (bread wheat)
Lineage: Eukaryota; Viridiplantae; Streptophyta; Magnoliopsida; Poales; Poaceae
Description: partial small subunit ribosomal RNA
Source: RNAcentral